AAGAGUAAUAAUGUGUAUAUAAUAAAGCUGCUAACUUUAUUAUGAGCAAUUCAUAAUUGUACUACUCUUU
RNAcentral lists this transfer RNA (70 nucleotides) under Octopus vulgaris (common octopus). RNAcentral's name for it is "tRNA-Ser". RNAcentral also lists the same sequence under 1 other name. Lineage: Eukaryota; Metazoa; Mollusca; Cephalopoda; Octopoda; Octopodidae. The record is from RNAcentral.